This 253-nucleotide ribosomal RNA is filed under the name uncultured bacterium. RNAcentral's name for it is "partial 16S ribosomal RNA". It matches the Rfam family "Archaeal small subunit ribosomal RNA", at positions 474 to 727 of the family's 1478-position model. The record is from RNAcentral.
UACCAGCACCCCGAGUGGUCGGGACGAUUAUUGGGCCUAAAGCAUCCGUAGCCGGUUCUACAAGUCUUCCGUUAAAUCCACCUGCUUAACAGAUGGGCUGCGGAGGAUACUAUGGAGCUAGGAGGCGGGAGAGGCAAGCGGUACUUAGUGGGUAGGGGUAAAAUCCGUUGAUCCAUUGAAGACCACCAGUGGCGAAGGCGGCUUGCCAGAACGCACGCGACGGUGAGGGAUGAAAGCUGGGGGAGCAAACCGG